GUGAGGAAUAUUGGUCAAUGGACGGAAGUCUGAACCAGCCAUGCCGCGUGCAGGAAUAAGGUCCUAUGGAUUGUAAACUGCUUUUAUUCGGGAAUAAACCUCUUUACGUGUAGGGAGCUGAAGGUACCGAAGGAAUAAGCACCGGCUACCUCCGUGCCAGCAGCCGCGGUAAUACGGAGGGUGCAAGCGUUAUCCGGAAUCAUUGGGUUUAAAGGGUCCGCAGGCGGGCUAUCAAGUCAGAGGUGAAAUCCCACAGCUUAACUGUGGAACUGCCUGUGAAACUGAUGGUCUUGAAUUAAGUGGGCGUUGGCGGAAUAUGACAUGUAGCGGUGAAAUGCAUAGAUAUGUCAUGGAACACCGAAAGCGAAGGCAGCUAACGAUACUUAUAUUGACGCUCAUGGACGAAAGCGUGGGUAGCGAACAGGAUUAGAAACCCGAGUAGUCC
This 445-nucleotide ribosomal RNA is filed under the name uncultured bacterium. Its description in RNAcentral is "partial 16S ribosomal RNA". It matches the Rfam family "Bacterial small subunit ribosomal RNA", at positions 354 to 796 of the family's 1533-position model. The record is from RNAcentral.